Molecule: long non-coding RNA, 600 nt
Organism: Syngnathus acus (greater pipefish)
Lineage: Eukaryota; Metazoa; Chordata; Actinopteri; Syngnathiformes; Syngnathidae
Exons: 3
Source: RefSeq, a predicted model, not a curated record
UAAAAAUAUUUGGUAUAAACACUACACUCACUUUUGUUUACAGUGGGCCGCUGCCCUUACAAGAACAUCAGCAAUAGAAACUAGAGAGUGCUAACUACUAUUUUCUGUUGCAGUCCACUCGCACUUGGGCCAAGUAAUCCAGCAGCUGGGGCUGCACCUACAGGCCUGGGAGUGGAGCAGCAUGGCCUUCAACACCAUGUUUUCUUUUCAAGCAGAUCCUUGACAUGGCAGACGGAGGCCUCCACAUAAUCCCGUGGUUUGUGGUAAGCGUGGAGCAAGGUGGAGUCGUCGUCCGAGCUGUGUCCGAGUGCCCCGUUUGGUCUGCAGUCUGCAAAAGGACUCGCCUUGCCAUUAGGAGCGAUUUUCAGCUAAGAGGGGCUGCCGUCUGGACGCAAAUAAAGGACAAAUGAAGCCUGACAUCUCCACAAGUGGAACAAAUGAAAGCAGGAAAAGGGUGACUGGACUCAUUUAAAGGGCAAACUUGUCCACCUGUGUUUGCUUUUCUUUUAGUUAGCUGUCAUGAUGAAUUUCUGAGGGAUUUAUUUGAAAAAUAAAAGUGUCAGUCAUUUAAACUGAUUUACAUUAAAAUCAAAGUGUGCA